AGCACUACGGGCGAUACGAGGAGCGCAUGCCCGGUCCGAUGACGAAGAAACGGUUCAAAAAGCUGAAGGACGUCGGAUUCGACGAAUUCGUAAGAAUGAAACAGAAGGGAAUGGAAAAUGACAAAGCCAAGGAGAGCGGCAACC
RNAcentral lists this small nuclear RNA (144 nucleotides) under Thalassiosira punctigera. RNAcentral's name for it is "partial Dictyostelium signal recognition particle". Lineage: Eukaryota; Bacillariophyta; Thalassiosirophyceae; Thalassiosirales; Thalassiosiraceae. The record is from RNAcentral.